RNAcentral lists this ribosomal RNA (258 nucleotides) under Triticum aestivum (bread wheat). RNAcentral describes it as "partial small subunit ribosomal RNA". The record is from RNAcentral. Lineage: Eukaryota; Viridiplantae; Streptophyta; Magnoliopsida; Poales; Poaceae.
AUGAGCAAGGCAUUGGCACCUCACUAUCAAGGACUGUCAACUUAUAAAAAGGAGUACUUGGCAGUGAUAAUAGCAGUUGAUCAGUGGCGUCCCUAUCUUCAACAUGGAGAAUUUGUAAUACACACAGACCUGAAAAGCCUCAUCCACCUUGAAGAGCAACGACUAUCUAGCCCCUGGCAGAAAAAAGCCUUCACUAAACUGUUGGGUCUGCAGUACACCAUCAAAUAUAAGAAGGGCUCGGAGAAUACAGCAACUUAG